RNAcentral lists this ribosomal RNA (465 nucleotides) under uncultured bacterium. RNAcentral's name for it is "partial 16S ribosomal RNA". It matches the Rfam family "Bacterial small subunit ribosomal RNA", at positions 28 to 507 of the family's 1533-position model. The record is from RNAcentral.
GAUGAACGCUGGCGGCGUGCUUAACACAUGCAAGUCGAACGGAAAGGCUCCUGCUUGCAGGGGUGCUCGAGUGGCGAACGGGUGAGUAACACGUGGGUGAUCUGCCCUGCACUUCGGGAUAAGCCUGGGAAACUGGGUCUAAUACCGGAUAGGACGAUGGUUUGGAUGCCAUUGUGGAAAGUUUUUCGGUGUGGGAUGAGCUCGCGGCCUAUCAGCUUGUUGGUGGGGUAAUGGCCUACCAAGGCGUCGACGGGUAGCCGGCCUGAGAGGGUGUACGGCCACAUUGGGACUGAGAUACGGCCCAGACUCCUACGGGAGGCAGCAGUGGGGAAUAUUGCACAAUGGGCGCAAGCCUGAUGCAGCGACGCCGCGUGGGGGAUGACGGCCUUCGGGUUGUAAACUCCUUUCGCUAGGGACGAAGCGCAAGUGACGGUACCUGGAGAAGAAGCACCGGCUAACUACGUG